GAGCCAACAGACGGGCCCGUCGAGGAAGGCUCUGACCAGAGCCUAAUUGUAAUACCCCAAAAAAAUGCUGCCAAAGGUUGAUCUUCGGUGCGAGGAUGAGGAAGGCGUCGUUUAUUUUCUCCCGCAAAGAAACCCUAGUGCCCCCCCUUUCCCCUUUCUUGGCCGCCACCCCCCUUUCCCCACACUUGGCCGCCCCUACCCUUCCCCUUGGCUGGCUGCCCCCUCUCCUCCCAUGGCAGCUUCCCUCUACCCUCUCCACGGCUUCCUCCUCCUUCUAGAACUCUCCCCCAAGCAGCAAGGAUCGAGAAGAGGAGGAGCAAGUUGGAUUGAAGAGGAAGAUAUGACCAUGGAGACGUUCUAUCCCCAUCUCUACUUGCAGAUUUUCUUGGGGAAACCCUAGGUGCUUGAUGCUUAUCAAGGGGAGUGGGAAGUAGCGGCAUGUUGCACUCAUUGCUUAAAGAACCAAAUAAUUAUCUUGGGUUAUUGACUUUUGAGGUUCAUACUUUAGAGUAUGACAUAGUCAUAAGCUGGUUCAUUCAUGGUUAAUUGUCCUUGAUGAGAAUUAUAUCAUACUAGUAUGAUUCAUUUUGUAUUGAUAUAUCUCUUUUGCUUC
Molecule: long non-coding RNA, 613 nt
Organism: Zea mays
Lineage: Eukaryota; Viridiplantae; Streptophyta; Magnoliopsida; Poales; Poaceae
Exons: 2
Source: RefSeq, a predicted model, not a curated record